UGGGGAAUUUUGGACAAUGGACGCAAGUCUGAUCCAGCCAUGCCGCGUGCGGGAAGAAGGCCUUCGGGUUGUAAACCGCUUUUGUCAGGGAAGAAACGAGUUUCUCUAAUACAGAGACUUAAUGACGGUACCUGAAGAAUAAGCACCGGCUAACUACGUGCCAGCAGCCGCGGUAAUACGUAGGGUGCGAGCGUUAAUCGGAAUUACUGGGCGUAAAGCGUGCGCAGGCGGUUAUAUAAGACAGAUGUGAAAUCCCCGGGCUCAACCUGGGAACUGCCUUUGUGACUGCAUAGCUAGAGUACGGUAGAGGGGGAUGGAAUUCCGCGUGUAGCAGUGAAAUGCGUAGAUAUGCGGAGGAACACCGAUGGCGAAGGCAAUCCCCUGGACCUGUACUGACGCUCAUGCACGAAAGCGUGGGGAUCAAACA
This 427-nucleotide ribosomal RNA is filed under the name uncultured bacterium. Its description in RNAcentral is "bacterial SSU rRNA". It matches the Rfam family "Bacterial small subunit ribosomal RNA", at positions 355 to 774 of the family's 1533-position model. The record is from RNAcentral.